UGGGGAAUAUUGCACAAUGGGGGAAACCCUGAUGCAGCGACGCCGCGUGAGCGAUGAAGGCUUUCGAAUCGUAAAGCUCUGUCCUAUGGGAAGAUAAUGACGGUACCAUAGAAGAAAGCCCCGGCUAAUUACGUGCCAGCAGCCGCGGUAAUACGUAAGGGGCGAGCGUUGUCCGGAAUUAUUGGGCGUAAAGAGUGCGUAGGCGGCAAAUUAAGUCAGAUGUGAAAACUAAGGGCUCAACCCAUAGAUUGCAUCUGAAACUGAUAUGCUUGAGUCAAGGGGAGGAAAGUGGAAUUCCUAGUGUAGCGGUGGAAUGCGUAGAUAUUAGGAGGAAUACCGGUGGCGAAGGCGACUUUCUGGGCUUGAACUGACGCUGAGGCACGAAAGCGUGGGGAGCAAACAGG
RNAcentral lists this ribosomal RNA (404 nucleotides) under Verrucomicrobiota bacterium. Its description in RNAcentral is "Verrucomicrobia bacterium partial 16S ribosomal RNA". It matches the Rfam family "Bacterial small subunit ribosomal RNA", at positions 355 to 776 of the family's 1533-position model. Lineage: Bacteria; Pseudomonadati; Verrucomicrobiota. The record is from RNAcentral.